Chrysemys picta bellii (western painted turtle) is the source of this 351-nucleotide long non-coding RNA. RefSeq lists it as uncharacterized. The record is from RefSeq and is a predicted model, not a curated record. NCBI's taxonomy places the organism in Eukaryota, Metazoa, Chordata, Testudines, Emydidae.
GGUAGAUAAUUAACAACCAACAUUUCUGUUACGUUUAUGCUCGUACAUGCCUGUCUUUUAAGCAAUCACAUUUUCUGCAGAAGAUGAACAUGUUUAGAUAUCACUGGUUCUCGGGCAUUCUGCGCUGCAAAAUACUUUGUUCAUGAAGAAAAACAAGACAGAUGCAAACAGCACACACCAGCAUGCCAGAUGUUCUGCAGUACAAAUACAAGGACAAGGACCCUGCCACCAAGAGGCUCUACUGGGAAAAUCCUGAGAUCAGCAAUGCAGUGUGUGAGGCUGAAGUAUUUACCCAGGGAUUGGCCUAGCUCUGCAGAAAUGAUAGCAAACGCAUAAUUUCCCAACAGGAGC